AGAGUUUGAUCCUGGCUCAGGAUGAACGCUGGCGGCGUGCCUAAUACAUGCAAGUCGAACGAGUUUUGGUCGAUGAACGGUGUUUGCACUGUGAUUCAACUUAAAACGAGUGGCGGACGGGUGAGUAACACGUGGGUAACCUGCCCUUAAGUGGGGGAUAACAUUUGGAAACAGAUGCUAAUACCGCAUAAAUCCAAGAACCGCAUGGUUCUUGGCUGAAAGAUGGCGUAAGCUAUCGCUUUUGGAUGGACCCGCGGCGUAUUAGCUAGUUGGUGAGGUAACGGCUCACCAAGGCGAUGAUACGUAGCCGAACUGAGAGGUUGAUCGGCCACAUUGGGACUGAGACACGGCCCAAACUCCUACGGGAGGCAGCAGUAGGGAAUCUUCCACAAUGGACGCAAGUCUGAUGGAGCAACGCCGCGUGAGUGAAGAAGGCUUUCGGGUCGUAAAACUCUGUUGUUGGAGAAGAAUGGUCGGCAGAGUAACUGUUGUCGGCGUGACGGUAUCCAACCAGAAAGCCACGGCUAACUACGUGCCAGCAGCCGCGGUAAUGCGUAGGUGGCAAGCGUUAUCCGGAUUUAUUGGGCGUAAAGCGAGCGCAGGCGGUUUUUUAAGUCUGAUGUGAAAGCCCUCGGCUUAACCGAGGAAGCGCAUCGGAAACUGGGAAACUUGAGUGCAGAAGAGGACAGUGGAACUCCAUGUGUAGCGGUG
Molecule: ribosomal RNA, 711 nt
Filed under: uncultured Lactobacillus sp.
Lineage: Bacteria; Bacillati; Bacillota; Bacilli; Lactobacillales; Lactobacillaceae
Description: bacterial SSU rRNA
Rfam family: Bacterial small subunit ribosomal RNA
Source: RNAcentral